This 302-nucleotide ribosomal RNA is filed under the name uncultured bacterium. RNAcentral describes it as "partial 16S ribosomal RNA". It matches the Rfam family "Bacterial small subunit ribosomal RNA", at positions 508 to 807 of the family's 1533-position model. The record is from RNAcentral.
GCAGCCGCCGCGGUAAUACGUAGGGUGCAAGCGUUAAUCGGAAUUACUGGGCGUAAAGCGUGCGCAGGCGGUUAUAUAAGACAGAUGUGAAAUCCCCGGGCUCAACCUGGGAACUGCAUUUGUGACUGUAUAGCUAGAGUACGGCAGAGGGGGAUGGAAUUCCGCGUGUAGCAGUGAAAUGCGUAGAUAUGCGGAGGAACACCGAUGGCGAAGGCAAUCCCCUGGGCCUGUACUGACGCUCAUGCACGAAAGUGUGGGGAGCAAACAGGAUUAGAUACCCGGGUAGUCCCUGUCUCUUAUAC